Molecule: ribosomal RNA, 301 nt
Filed under: uncultured bacterium
Lineage: Bacteria
Description: partial 16S ribosomal RNA
Rfam family: Bacterial small subunit ribosomal RNA
Source: RNAcentral
CAGUAGCCGCGGUAAUACGGAGGGGGCUAGCGUUGUUCGGAAUUACUGGGCGUAAAGCGCACGUAGGCGGCUGUGUAAGUCAGAGGUGAAAGCCCGGGGCUCAACCCCGGAAUAGCCUUUGAGACUGCAUAGCUUGAACACGGGAGAGGUGAGUGGAAUUCCGAGUGUAGAGGUGAAAUUCGUAGAUAUUCGGAAGAACACCAGUGGCGAAGGCGGCUCACUGGACCGUUGUUGACGCCGAGGUGCGAAAGCGUGGGGAGCAAACAGGAUUAGAUACCCGCGUAGUCCCUGUCUCUUAUAA